GAGCAAAGGCGUCUGAUAACAUAAACAUCAGAUGGCGUAAUUUGCAUUGAAGGUUGGCCAUAUGCAUAAAGCAAUUCUCCGUGCCUCUCAAAUUUUAUUUGUUUUAAAUAGGCCUCGAACAAGUUGCCACAUU
Thalictrum thalictroides is the source of this 133-nucleotide non-coding RNA. The record is from the annotation of a GenBank genome assembly. NCBI's taxonomy places the organism in Eukaryota, Viridiplantae, Streptophyta, Magnoliopsida, Ranunculales, Ranunculaceae.